Equus quagga is the source of this 2110-nucleotide long non-coding RNA. RefSeq lists it as uncharacterized. NCBI's taxonomy places the organism in Eukaryota, Metazoa, Chordata, Mammalia, Perissodactyla, Equidae. The record is from RefSeq and is a predicted model, not a curated record. The transcript has 5 exons.
ACAGAAAACAACAGGCUUUCCCACUUCCAUCUCUGGCACGACCUGUUCUACGGCUCUGUACUCAUCACUCUCCUCCGCCGCCAGCAGUAGCCGCCGGGACAGGAUGCAGCUCCGGGAGGCAAGGAGGCAGCGCCCCAAGUUCUUUCCGGCCUCUCGGACACAAGAGCGCCCCAGAGGGGAAGGAAGCUGCAAGGAAGGGGCUCGGGAACUCUGAGGGGUGGCUCGCGAGGCCAGAGCCCGGAGCUGGGGAAGUGACCUCGGCGGCCAAGAAUGUAGCCUUUGAUGGAAACCUGCAUUUUAAACUGUUACUGGAAUGUUUUUAUUUUACAGUUUAAGGCACAGAUCCUGAAGAGCUGACUCUGCGCAUGGAUGCAGAGUAUAAGUUGUGGCAUAUCCCCUGAAGCAAAAUUUGGCCACAACUCAAAUAUCACAGCUGAUAGUGAAGGCAGGAUGAAGGGAGAAAAAGAAAGGGAGAUGCCAGUUGUCUCUGCCUCUUCAGAAAUGCAAAAGCUUCCCAGAGAACUCCUUGUAGACUUCUACUACUGUGUCUCAACCAGAAGGGUGUCACCUGGCCAUUCUAAAUUGUAAAGGAUGUGGGAAAAUAAAAACAGGAAAAUGGAAGACUGACACAGCCAUGUGUUUCAAGAGAAGGAGAAGAGCGUAUUGUGGAAGUAGAGACUGUUCCUACACGACUAUCACACAUGACUUAAGAAGCUGUUAUGAAACCAACAGCAAUAAGAAUUAUAACCAGAAUAGCAAAGACAUGUUAAUGACAAACAAGGAAAAAACUUAAUGGACUGAACACAAGGGGAAUUACAGCAGUGACAAUGGUGUAACAUGUGUUAAGUAAACAAAAUUUUCUUGGCAUGAAAACCUUUCACCAAUGAUGGGUUUAUAGAAAGGGCGAUUGCAGCAGAAAUUGCAUCCUCAGCAGAAACCAGCAUUUGCAAAUAAAAGUUUAACCAGGUAAAAUAUUUCUUAGCAUGUUGAAACUAGAGUGAAGGGACUUAUAGUACAAAUUUGCAUGAAAAUGUUAAAUCAUUUAUAGUUUUUCCCCUCCAGCCUAUGAGAGUAUAGAUAUAAGAUAUAUGUAUCACCGGGUUAGCUACAGUCAUUUGUGGUGCCUGGAAGGUUUUAAGUAUUUGAAUAGCUUUUGAACGUUGUGCCAGUGAUGGCCACAUCAGGAGAUUAUUUUUGUGUGUUGAGUGAAGUGGGUAAACGGCUGCGGGAUGUGCUCCACCAAGUCAGUGCUAAGACUGGGCUUGUUUUACAAAACUUAAACCCAUGCUGGCAAUUUGCACAAGUCAUACAACGUAUGUUUAUUUCAUAAUUCAGUGGGAAUCACAUUUAACUGAAAGCAAGAGAACAUGUCAUGAAGGUGGCAAUGAAUACUAUGAGAUGGAUGUGCUGCUGUGCUUUGAACAAUACUUAAUGAGUUGUAUGCACAAUAGAGGCAGUGUGAGACUAAAGAGAUUUUUCUUUGGAUGUUUAUAAGAAAUUGGUUUUUGUUAUCUAAAGAAAGUGUUAGCUGAACUCAUUAGUGAAGAUUUAGUCAGAUUGGAUCUCUGGUUGACCUUAUAUACACUCUAUUUCUCUACAAGUGUGUUCACAACCAGUUACACAAAUGAAGCAUUCAUUUUAUUCAUCUAAUUUCUAACCAAAUUGUGCCUUUGGGAAACUCACUUAACCAGGAAAAAUCUAGCCUACUUUCAUAUGCAGACAUCAUUUUCCAGAAAUUUAAGUGGUGACUACCCCUUGUGGAACUAAGAAUUGAAUUCUAAAAAAGUUAUUUGAUUUCAAAAUUUAUAAAAAUGGACUAACUUGGAUAAAUUUUCCUUUUCUUAACUAAUAUUGAUAAUAUGAAUAAAGAGCUAAAAAGUGGAAGUUAGCAUACUGAAGUGUAGUCCUGAAAACUAACCAUGAACUGAAUUCUGUAAAUAACUCAGAUAUUUUAAAUAUGCAAUAAAAUUGAGCAAGGAAUCUAUGUUUUGGAAAAACCACAUCUGUGAAAAAGUUUUACAUUAUUAAUUUGAAUAAAAUUAAUAUUGCUCCCAGAUGACGCAGAAGAAAAAUGUCACAUUUCUCUGGUUCAAGAUAAAAAAAUAAUGAA